Cajanus cajan (pigeon pea) is the source of this 1933-nucleotide non-coding RNA. NCBI's taxonomy places the organism in Eukaryota, Viridiplantae, Streptophyta, Magnoliopsida, Fabales, Fabaceae. The record is from RefSeq and is a predicted model, not a curated record.
UAUUUUAUUUAUAUUUAUCAUUUAUGAUAGCAUUUCUAUACAUAACAUCCAAUUUCCCUCUCGCACUCUCAAAAUCAAAAACCCUAACCUCUGUAGCUCUCACCGCAACGCCACCGAUCCCCAAUCCUCACUAAUCCAAGAAAGUAGAAAAGAAAAAAAAAAUGAGUAGGCGCUCGAGCAGAACUGUCUACGUAGGGAAUCUCCCUGGUGACAUCCGUGAAAGAGAAGUUGAAGAUUUGUUUCUGAAGUAUGGACACAUUACACACAUUGACCUAAAGGUUCCCCCAAGACCCCCAGGUUAUGCGUUUGUAGAGUUUGAAGAUGCUCAAGAUGCUGAGGAUGCAAUUCGUGGGCGUGAUGGCUAUGAUUUUGAUGGUCACCGGUUACGGGUGGAGCCUGCCCAUGGUGGACGUGGUCAUUCAUCCUCAAGAGAUCGAUAUAGUAGUCACAACAAUGGCCGGGCUGGACGAGGUGUAUCUAGGCGCUCUGAAUAUCGUGUUCUAGUCACUGGAUUGCCCUCUUCAGCAUCCUGGCAGGAUCUUAAGGAUCACAUGCGUAAGGCAGGGGAUGUUUGCUUUUCCCAAGUUUUUCAUGAUGGAAGAGGUACUACUGGCAUUGUGGAUUACACAAAUUAUGAUGAUAUGAAAUAUGCUAUCAAGAAGCUUGAUGACUCUGAAUUCCGGAAUGCAUUUUCCAAGGGUUAUGUUCGUGUGAGGGAAUAUGAUUCAAGGCGGGAUUCCUCUAGAAGUCCUAGUCGUGGCCCAUCCCAUUCUAGAGGAAGAAGCUAUAGCCGCAGUCGUAGCCGUAGCCGUAGUUACAGUCGGGGUCGGAGCCAAAGCAAAUCUCCAAAGGGUAAAUCUUCACAGCGUUCACCUGCUAAAUCUAAAUCUCCAUCAAGAUCUCCCUCUCGAUCUCGCUCAAGAUCAAAGUCCCGUUCAUUAUCAGGAUUCCUUCGUGUUUUUUUCUUAGAUAUGGAAACUUGCAGCAUACUGGAAAUUGGAAAUUAGGAACUUGGUGGGAUUUGGUUCAAUUGCCUGCAACUCAUUUUGUUGUGGAGAUUGGGAACAAAGGAGAUCAUGGAUUGCCAUUUUAGAGCUGCAUUGUGUAUAAAGGCAAUUGGGAUUUGAAAAUCACCACCAAUGAGCAUAGGGACAAUUUCAUUUCAAUUGUGGGCUCCAAGAUUUGCCAAGUCAAUAGGAUGCACUAUCUGGAUUCUCUGGAUUUUGUGGUGCAGUAGGGAAGAUUUCUUUUCUCCAGUCAAUCGGAGCCUUAGCAUGUCACCUGAUAUGGUCUAUUUUUAUUUGCUUUUCAUCAUUCUUGCAUAAUGUCUGUUACUUUUCCAUUUUUAGUCUUCUACUUUGUUAGUCUGUUUUUUAUUUUAUGAUGCUUGUUUUUACCUCUCUUGGACAUGUUAACUGUGACAUGGGAGAGGCAUCAAGGCUGUUGGAUCACUAUGAUAAGGGAACUUGUGGAUUUUAAAUUCUGUUGUUUGUGGAACUUUUGCAGAUCACGGUCCAGGUCCAGGUCUCCAUUGCCUCCGCGUAACAAGAGCCCCAAAAAGGGCAGUGCUAGCAGGAGUCCUAGUAGGAGCAGGAGCAGGAGCAAGAGUUUGUCUCGGUGAGCUCUGAUUGUUGCAAUUGAUGCAGUUGUGGGUGAUGGAGAGUGCUACUAAGUUUUUCUAGUAAAAUUGACAUUAGCCAAGAAAAACGCUCAUUUGGGUUUUAUGAUGUUUGAACUCAUUGGAAUUGAACUCGAAACUCCUACCUAUUGGCGCCUUAAUUUUAAUAUUGAGGAUUUUAGUAUUGAGGAUUUGAUGGACCCUAGAUUUAUGUAAGACUGUCGAAUGCCAAACAUUAGCAUUUUGGAUCAUUACGCUGGUUCAUUUGAUAUUGCCCUGGUACAUUAUUAUAAUUAUAGUUCGGUGUAUGAGUUA